CAGCCGCCGCGGGAAUACGGAGGGAGCUAGCGUUGUUCGGAAUUACUGGGCGUAAAGCGCGCGUAGGCGGUUACUCAAGUCAGAGGUGAAAGCCCGGGGCUCAACCCCGGAACUGCCUUUGAAACUAGGUGACUAGAAUCUUGGAGAGGUCAGUGGAAUUCCGAGUGUAGAGGUGAAAUUCGUAGAUAUUCGGAAGAACACCAGUGGCGAAGGCGACUGACUGGACAAGUAUUGACGCUGAGGUGCGAAAGCGUGGGGAGCAAACAGGAUUAGAGACCCCUGUAGUCCCUGUCUCUUAUAC
RNAcentral lists this ribosomal RNA (301 nucleotides) under uncultured bacterium. RNAcentral's name for it is "partial 16S ribosomal RNA". It matches the Rfam family "Bacterial small subunit ribosomal RNA", at positions 509 to 807 of the family's 1533-position model. The record is from RNAcentral.